UACCAACAGCAAACCUGUCUACUUGGGUA
RNAcentral lists this non-coding RNA (29 nucleotides) under Rattus norvegicus (Norway rat). Lineage: Eukaryota; Metazoa; Chordata; Mammalia; Rodentia; Muridae. The record is from RNAcentral.